Molecule: ribosomal RNA, 119 nt
Filed under: Pteropus alecto (black flying fox)
Lineage: Eukaryota; Metazoa; Chordata; Mammalia; Chiroptera; Pteropodidae
Source: RNAcentral
GUCUACAGCCAUGCUACCCUGCACAAGCCCAAUCCCGUCUGAUUCCGGAAGCUAAGCAGGGUAAAGCCUAGUUAGUACUUGCAUAGGAGACCACCUAGGAAGACCAGGUGCUGUAGGCA